GGCCCUUUCAUCGAUCGAAACAAACAAAACAGUGGAAGUGGUAGAAACAAGAAUGGAAAUAUAUAGCACAAUAUUAAUUCUAUAAUUACGUACAAUGAAAGAAUGAAACAUUUAGAGUAGAAGGAUUGUUUGAAACUGAAGUACAUUGAUAUAUAUACGUUGUAUAUAGUUUAUAAUCAGGGGCACUGAGGAUUGUUCCCAGGCCCACCAUAGUAGAAGUAAGUGCCCCAUUCGUUGCUGUAGUAGCUCUUGAUGUCGUAACAGUUUGUGUUUUCGGCCAAGGUUGAGAUGCUCUGCACAGAACUCAAACUGUUAUCUGUGUCUACGAUCUGAAGGUUCCGGAAGUAGCUUGCUUUGCAUGUUUUUUAACAAUUAUACAGUAAUAAUAAGAUUUACUAACUUAAUGGAUAUUUUUCUGUAAAACAAAAAUUAACUUAAUGGAUAUUAUUUUACAUAACAUGAUAUUAUAUUAAUACAAAAAUUAUUUAUUUUGAAAUAUAUACUAUAAAACAAAUUAAGCAAACCCAGUCUUAUUUAAUUUAUAGAUUAAAUUUGAUUCAAAUAAAUGAUUUUUGUCAAAAUUUUAGAUCAAAUAAGAAUAAGAAUAUAUAAACACGUCCAUGAAUACCCCUAGCAGCUGUGUAUUAAUUGUAGCUACAUAAUUAGAACUGAAUUUAAAUGUUCUCUUCUUUGCCACUAGUACGUUAAAAAAAUGAACAGUAGCAGCAUAAUGGAUUUGGCAUCAAUAGAUAGUUGUACUGACUGAUUUCACCCUCGAGCAAAGCUAUCAGCUGGAUUAGGACAACAAAACUGUUAUUUAUGCGAAUGAUAAUUGAGUUCUAAAAUAAUCUCAUUGACUCAUUAUUAAGAAAACUACCAACAGAAGAGGAUGAUUGUUAUUUUACUUGUUUUUAAUAAUAUAUAGUAAUUUUUAUCAAGAAAAUUGAUAUUUUAGUAUAAAUAUUAUAACUUCAUAUAAACAAGAGUGAGAAGAAUAAAUUUUGUCUAUAUAAUCAUAUAUAGACGAUUUAUAUUUGAUAUCAUGUAAUCUUUUAAAGUCAAAUUACAUUUUAAAAACUCAUAGAAGUUGUCUUUUAAUCGUGAUAUAUUAUUUAUACUGAAAUCGGUCAAUAUUUUUUCCUUAAACUUUUGGGUAAAAAAAAAAUUCCUUUCACCAUUUCCUAUAUCUAUACACUAGUAAUUUAUUUCUGUUAGAUAAUUGAAGGUUGUAUGGACAAAAUUCCUUUCUGCCAGCUUGAUUCAACAUAUUCACGAUCGGUCUUAAUUAUCAUGAAUUUGCAGUGGACGAUCUCUUAUAGGCAUACUCUUCGUGAAGAUAAUGCAUGCGCGAACUGGCUUGUCAAAUACGGUGCAAUGCAUGAAAAUGCCUUUGUCAAUAGGAAUGUUUGCCCAACUCAGUUAACCCCUUUUAUAUUGGCUGACCCAAUGGGUGUAGUUCACAUUUGAUACUAAUCUCUCUUGUUUCUGCUUUCUUUUUUAGAUGUAUGCAAAAUUUAAAAUAUAUACAAGAUCUGGAAGCUUCUUUAUCACGAGUAAGAUUAAUCAUUUAGGAUGAUAGUUAAUUCAUUAAUUAUACUGUUAUUUAAUUGGUUAUUAUCUGUUAAACUAAAUUUUUGUGCCAAUGGAUAUUACAUUUGAGCUGGAUCUUUUAAGUUAGUUAAACUAUAUAUAUGAUCCAGAACAAAUUAUAAUGUUUUUCAUUGACUGUCCGCAUCUAUUUAUACUGGGUCAUAUAUAACUUACUAUUUGAAUACUUACAAUUGAACAAUUGAUAGAUGAUUGCUUAUAGUUAAAAAUAUAACAAAACAAAAGAGUUAUCAUGCAAACCAUAACGAGUUGUGCGAAAUAUUGACUCAUUGGUGAUCUUACCCGCUUUUAUAUUAUUGACAGUGUCCUAUUUUAUAUUUUUAUUACUUUUUUUAAAACAUAUUUUCCAUAGGUUAUUUUUAAUUUAUUAUCUAAAAUUUAUUUUUGAUAUUAAUUAUAAUUAAUUUUAUUCUGUUAAAAUCAAACCUAAUUACCCAUAUAUUAUUUUUUAUUAUUUAAACUAUUUAAAAAAUUCAAUUCUUUAUUUUUUUAAUGGAAAACAACUUCUCACCACCGUCCAACCGCGCCACCACCUCCGUCAAACUUGUGUCCUUUCGCCUCGCCUUCCGUCCUCCAAACCUUAAUCCUCCCAUCCGCGGAUGCCAUGUAAACGGUGCCGUCGCCGUUAACGGUGGAAGGAGAAGGGCGGUCCUCGAGCCACGUCACCUGCGCGACCAGGUAGGGUUUGGUGCAGACAACGCUCUCCGGUUUCUUCGUUCUCAGAAAACUCAGAUCUAAGCCUCAGAUCUAAGAAGACGACACUGUUGUUCCUCCCAACCCCAAAAUCUCAGACUCCUCCGAUGCUUCCUCAAAUUGAACUUCCAAGGUUGACCCAUUUCACCCUUUUGCCUCAAUUUCACAAAAUCGUUCGUUUUUUCUAAUAACCCUAAUUUUUAUGGUGCACUCGUGCCCGUGUUUCCCGACGGCGACGACCCAGAAGAGAAACGUGUUGCUGAUGACGAACGUCGGUGGCGCAUGAAGGCGGUCGAAGAGGUGCUAGAGCUGGGUCUCCAUCUUUGUCAUGACGGCUUCAACGACGUCGUCGUUUAAGGUGUCUGCGGAGUUGUUAGAUGAAUCUUCAUGAAUAACAGACCCAACAACAGAGUGAUCUGAGCGCGAACGCGGCAGUGAGAUUCCUCGGAGGUUCGCGGUGGUUUCGCAUUGCGGUGAGUUUCAUUGUGGAUCGUGGUGAUGUUGCGGUGGUUCGUGGUGCUUUCGUUUUGUUGGCCUUUGGUUUUGCCACAUUGGUGGGUGCUGCGGGUUUCACUUUGGUUCAAGUUUCGAUUUUCUUUUUAUUCAAAUACAGAUUUGUUUAUUGAAGACUCGUGUUGUACAUUUAGAUUAUAUUGAAACAUAACAAAUAUACAUAAAUAACAAAAAGUAAAUUUUAAGUAAUAAAUUAAUAAUAAUUUAUUUUUUUAGAUAUGAUAAAUAUUUUAAAGUUUUCUUUUAAAGUAGAUUUAUGUUUUUUUCAGUUAAUAGAAGCUAACUGAUAUAUAUAGAAAAUCGGUAGUCUUUGACCCAAAAUUAUGAUAAAUUAUUGAUUUUUAUAAAAUUAUCUUAAAAAUCAUAAAAUUAAUAAUUUAUAAUUAAAUGAUAAUAUAUAUAUAAAACGAUUUUAUAUGAUCAUUUUGAGUCUCAGGGUUAAACUCUUGUUAUUUUUGUUCAUAAUAUAUAUACAUGAUGGGAGUUUGAAUUUGUUUAAUAUUAUGAUAUUGCACUAUUUCGAUUGGGGUAAUUAUCCUGAAAUCCUAAUUUUUCCUUAACCAAAAUAAAUUAAUAAUAAUUACAUCUAGUGUGAAUAUGGAGAUCAACCUGCUUAAAUAUCGGAAUAUAUAUAAAAUUUAAGGGACAUGAGGUUAAUAUUCGGCUAGUAAGUCUCCAUGCACCUAUCACGCCCAAUCCUUAUUGGAUUGGACUUGGUGCGUGUCGCAACGGAAACGAAGACGAGGUCCCAAGGUCAGAACCUGCUCUGAUACCAUGUUAGAUUUCAUGUUAAAACCAAUUGGCAUUAAGUGAAGUUGCCCAACAGAUAUAUAAGCCGUACUCCAAAGAUUGAGACAGUCGAUGUGGGACUUUGGUUAUUUCCCAAUAGAUUAUUGCUGUCUCAGAACUGUGAUAUGAAAUUGUUGAGAGAAUAUUAAUAAGGAUGGGUGUAUCUAGAAGCUUUGUUUAGUACGAGGCGGCAAAUAUCUUUCACCAGAAUAAUAUUGUUCGACUUAAAAUAUCUUUAUUACAGGUGACAAUUUUUUUAAAUAUUUAAUCUCAAACUGUAUAUUUAAAGUUUAAAUUUAAAACUAUUAGUUAAAUUGAAAGCUUAAUUAAGGAGAGAGUUUUAGAAGAAAUAAAGUAUAAUGCUAUAAGGAGAAAGAAUGGAUUUUGAAAUGUAGGUAAAACACUUUUUAUUAUUACACAAACAUAUAGUGUGUUCAGUUUUCUAAAAAUGAACCAUCCAAAGCUUAAUUAACAUUAAUAUACUGAACAUAUAAUACUUAUUUGAUAUAUAUAACAAUUAAUAACAUAUAUAUAUAUAUAUAUAUAUAUAUAUAUAUAUAUAUAUAUAUAUAUAUAUAUAUAUAUAUAUAUAUAUUAGUUUAGCUAAAAUGGUUGUAAUGUAAGGUAUAUUCUCUAUCUGUUUAUUUAUUUAUUUUACUUAUCCACUUUUAAUUUUUAAUUUAAAAGACUAAGAUAAUAUUAAUUAUUUUUCAAUUAUAUCCUUUUCGUAUCUUACAUAUAUAUUACUAUUUAAGAAAUAAAAGUGAAAAUGUUUCAUAAGAAACAUAAUAUUUACGCAGCCAACUCCAUGAAAAAAUUUGAUACAAAAUUUAUUUAUUGAUUUGUUAACUAAUGUACUCACCAUAAUGUUUAAAAAUAUAUAUGUUUGACGUUUAGAGAGUUAUCUGAUAUUUAUAAAAACAAACAAAGCAGCGAAACAUUGAAUUUAUAAUAUUUUUUAUUUUAAAAAAUAAAAAAUUAUCAUCCAUUGAAAUAUAUAUAAUUUCACUGUCAAAGACUAAGAAAGGCAAAGAAGAAGAGUUGUAGCAGAGUGAGUGAGCCAGAAAAAAGGAGAGGAAAGAUAUCUAAAUGCGUAGGGUUGAGGAGGAGCCAACGAAUCCCGAACUCAAUCUGUAGGAUUCCAACACAAUAUUUGAGGAGGAUUUAUUCGCGCAUGUGAUUUAUAAUUGAAAGAUUCCCUCUGCAGCUCUCAAAACCACUAACCCUAAUAGCUGAACUCCAAAGAGAUAAAAUAACAGCAAGUGGCCCUCAUCAAUUCUAAGUAUAUAUUAAAUCAUUGCCGCCAUCACUUCUUCUCCAUACUCUUGUCUCACUCUAACAGCCAAAGCAUGGCUUCUCUCUCUUGCUCCGCCAACGACCUUGCCCCACUCAUCAACGACACCGCCGCCGCCAACUACCUCUGCGCACAAUUCGAUUCCAUUUCUAGAAAGCUCGUCGAAACAACCUACGCCGUCGACAACACCUACCUUCUGUUUUCAGCGUAUCUUGUCUUCGCCAUGCAGCUCGGCUUCGCCAUGCUCUGCGCCGGCUCCGUCAGAGCCAAAAACACCAUGAACAUCAUGCUCACCAACGUCCUCGACGCCGUCGCCGGCGGUCUCUCCUACUACCUAUUCGGCUUUGCAUUCGCCUUCGGCGGCCCCUCCAACGGCUUCAUCGGCCGCCCAAACUUCCGCCUACGAGAUUACCCGAUGGGCUCCUCUAUCUCCAGCUUCUUCCUCUACCAGUUGGUCUUAGCCAUCGCCGACGCAGGAAUCACCAUCUCUCCCUUCGGCGACUACAGCUUCUUCCUCUACCAGUGGGCCUUCGCCAUCGCCGCCGCAGGAAUCACCAGCGGCUCCAUCGCCGAGAGAACACAGUUCGUGGCUUACCUUAUCUACUCUUCUUUCUUAACCGGUUUCGUUUACCCCAUCGUUUCGCAUUGGUUCUGGUCCUCAGACGGUUGGGCCAGCGCGACUCGUAGCCACGGAAAUGUUUUAUUCGGGUCUGGAGUCAUCGACUUCGCGGGCUCAGGCGUUGUUCACAUGGUUGGCGGGAUAGCGGGCCUGUGGGGGGCUUUAAUUGAAGGCCCGAGAAUCGGCCGGUUCGACCGUUCGGGCCGGUCGGUUGCUUUACGUGGCCACAGCGCGUCUUUAGUUGUGCUUGGUACGUUUUUGUUAUGGUUCGGCUGGUACGGCUUCAACCCUGGUUCGUUUGUGACAAUAGACAAGGGGUAUGAAAGUGGAGGGUAUUAUGGUCAAUGGAGCGCUAUAGGGAGGACAGCUGUCACGACGACAUUGGCUGGGAGCACUGCGGCUCUGACGACGUUGUUCAGCAAGCGGUUAUUGGUUGGCCACUGGAACGUGAUUGACGUGUGUAACGGCCUGCUUGGCGGGUUCGCUGCCAUUACAUCGGGCUGUGCCGUUGUGGAACCGUGGGCCGCGAUUGUCUGCGGGUUUGUGGCGGCGUGGGUUUUGAUUUGGCUUAAUAAGCUUGCCGCGAAGGUAGAGUACGAUGAUCCGUUGGAGGCGGCGCAGCUUCACGGCGGGUGCGGAGCUUGGGGGGUUUUCUUCACGGGAUUGUUUGCGAAGAAAGUGUACGUGGAGGAGAUUUACGGUGUUGGAAGGCCGUUCGGGGCUUUGAUGGGUGGCGGAGGGAGGCUGCUGGCGGCGCAGGUGAUUCAGAUAUUGGUGGUGUGCGGGUGGGUUACGGCGACCAUGGCGCCGUUGUUCUAUGGGCUUCAUAAGAUGAAACUGUUGAGAAUUUCGAGGGAUGAUGAGACUGCGGGGAUGGAUUUGACGAGGCAUGGUGGGUUUGCUUAUGCAUACCAUGAUGAUGAAGAUGGUUCAAGCAGGGGAGUAGGAUUCAUGAUGCUUAGAAUUGAGCCUGCUGGUACCUCUCCCUCUCCCCCCGCUGCACCACAAGUUUAAUCAAAAUGUGGUUUAUGAUUUUCAAGCGUUUUUUAGUUUCGUACCUGCACAUAGCUAUGGGCAAAGCUAGCCUAGUCAAAACCAUAUACAAGCAAGACACGAGGGAUGCAUAUAUGUAGUAUAAAAAUUAAUGCGUGGGGGUCAACAUUUAGGAAAUGUCUUCUAGAGUUACUGUACAUUUUAAAAUGUUUGUUGGCUUGGUUUAUUAUUUUCAUCUUUGAAUUCCAAGACUAGUUUGGUCGACUGUUGUCACGUUAGUUUGUAUCCUGCUGCAGAAUAACUUGCUUGUAAUUGUAUACUGAUUAGUUGGUAUAUAGUGAUAUAUUAUAUAUACUAAAUGCAUUAAUGCAGGUUAUGAUUUUGCUAAUCUUGUGAUAUUAGUGUUUCAACAUACAUUUUUUUCUUUUGAUAAAAUAAAUAUCAUAGCUGAAGGUCAAGUACCAUCCAUCUCAGCUUGGUAUCUUGAAAUAUGUUCUCAGAGAAUAAGAUACUUCAUCAUAACAGAAGACCGACAGUGUAGGAGCAUCAAAAGCAAAUAAAUAUAAUUUAAUAUUUGAAUAGUAUUGUACAUGAAAAUCUUAUGGCCUAACUAUGGAAACUUCAUAAAAAAUAUAUUUGUUUUGUGGUUUUGAAGUUCAUUGUGCUUCCAAUACAUGCAUAUUUGUACACUUCAAUAUUAAUUCUCGCAAGUAAAUAAUAAGGAGUAUAGGAUAAUAGGAACCUAAUUCAUAUUUUUUCACGAUCUUGGUGAGAAAUAAAAAACAAUGCAUACAGUUUUAUCUCAACAGUCAACAACUCAUCAACGUGACAAAUCUUUUAUCGCUUAGAGCUUUAUUUGUAUAGUUGUAAAGUUCAUAACAUCAUUUGAGAAAGCAAGACUGAAAUUAAUCAAGAGAAAGGAGAAGUUAAAAAUUUAUUUUAUAUUGACAGACAGACAUUUGCAUGUUAUCAUCAUUAUUUUUCUGGCUAACCAAUUAAUUAAUAAACCAGAAUCUAAAUCGGAUAAUAUAUAUUGAUGAACAGAAUUUCUUACACGCCAUUUUUUUUCUACACACUUUUUUUUUUGUUAAAGUAAAAAGUAAGGAGAGUGUAUUAAAAAGAAAUUAAAUGUGUAAGUAUUAAUUAUUUUAUUAAGAGAAAAUUAUUCAAAGAAAACUCUAUACAAAGCCGUGGUUUAAAAUGUACGUAGCAUUAUGAAUUAGGUUACACACACAUAUUCCUACAGUUUUUCAGAAGAAAUGUUUUAAUAAGUUACAUGCUUGCAAAUAUUUUAACACACACAUAUAUGGAGGAUGCUUAAAAUUGUUCCAUUAUUUUAAAUUAACUCCUUAUAUACAUAUAUUUUUAAUUUUUUCAUGUUACCUUAAACCCUAAACCCUAUAAAAAAACUAAGAUUUUUAUCUCUUAUAUUUUUUCUCAACUAUUACAUUUGUUCAACACAUCAGGGUACGUAUCCUGGCAAUGUAGCAAGACUAUAAGCUGGGGCAAGCAUAGAAAAGGAGUAAUGUUAGUUAAGAAAUUAAUAAGACACUAAUAUUAUUUAGAAUUUCAAGUUAUUUUUAACAAGGAGAUUCAAGUGUGUAUUUUUAACUAGUUUAAAAUAAAAAAAUGGAGGAGGCUCACUCACGCCAUUCUUGUGGACCUCAACCUUCCAGUCAAGUUCCUUCGAAAAGCUUGAGAUGACAGACCACCCAAUAGCCUCAUGUCAUAAUUAAUCAUUCAAUCAAUUAAGUUAAUGUUGAUCUUGGAGAGCUUCCAACGAGUUAUGUAAUGAAUAUCAUUUUUUUUAAGCAUAUGUAAUUGUGGGGGGAUGUGCAAAAUAAUUUAUUUUCAUGUAAUGAGUGUAUUCCCAUGAUUUCAGCUUGUCAAUAACUGUUUUGUGAUAGCAACUUUGAUGACUCCUUCCCCCAUUUAUACUAGGCAAGGGAUAGUCAGUAGCCAUCUUCAUCAUUAGCUCUUAGGCUGGAUUAGAUCAAAUCACCUCUAAUUUCUUAUCAUUGUUUCAUCCGUUGAAUUGGGAAAUAUAGUUAUCCAUAAUUAUCUAUAUGUUUAUAUCCAAUCUUAUAAAAAAAGGGAAUGAUAAAUUAUAAUUUGAGUGAUAUUUUAUAUGAAUUUUUAUGUUAUUUUAUGUAUUUUUUUUAUACAAAAUUUACAUUUGGACUUUAAUUUUUUACUUUGCAAAAAUAUAAUCAUUCAAUCAAGUGAAAAAAUUGAAAAAUACAUAAUUUUAUGAAGAUUUGAUGUUAUUUUUACUUGAUAACGGCCAUGGUACAUUGACCACAGUCAUGGUCAUCCAAGAAGAUCACGAUAAAUCAUGAGGGUCUUUAUCAUUUCAUAAUAACUCAAGCUUCGAUGUAUGAAAAUGUAAAGGAUUUUUUUUAUCUCUUUUAUUUUUAUAAUGCAAUAUUGUAUAUUGUUUAGUUAUUCUAUGGCUAUGGUUGGUUAAACCUCUUAGAACUUGGAUUGUGAUGUAGUUGUAUCCAUGUAUUCUAAUUCUUAUUUUUAAUAAAGUUCUUCGAUGUUAUUCAAUUAAUUGUAUCCUUCUAUCAUUUUCACUUCUACAUUAGAAUUGGUCACUUUAAUUAAUUAUUAGUUAAUUGUGUAUUUUUUACUAUCUUCUCAUAAUUAAUUGACUUAUAGAAUGAUAGAGUUCAUAAAGCUUGCAUGAUCAAGUGACAACAUGAAUCUCCUUUUUACAAACUUAUCUGUUAUUCAUUCUUAACCUUAAGUUAAAUCUGAUAUGAACAAUGUAAGAUUGAUUUAGGGGAAGAGUAUUCUCAUACCUUGACCAUAUGCUAAUAAUUAAAAUAAUAGAUAAGAUAGUUAAUAGGCAACUAGGAAUUCUUAAUUAAAAUAUGAAUUAGGAAAAAUGAUACAUGUAAAAUCAUAAUUAAGUCACUCUUAUUCAUACAUAUCUUUUAUCUGUUGCUUGUCUUUGUUUUUUUUAUUUUCUUGAUUGUAAACACAAAUAAUCUCCAACUCAAGAUAAAAACUCCAAAUUAUUUAGUUUAUACGAUUUAGAUUAUUUAAAAAUAUAAAUAAUCUCUAGGAUAUGAUAUCCUAACUUUUGAGUCUACAGUUGUUACUCCAUAAGAUACACUUAUCCUCAAGGCCUCAACUAAUAUGUAUUUAAACUAAUAAUUAAUAAGAAUAUAAUUAAAUAAAUUUUUAUUUUCAUGUAUUCCAAGGAAUAUGUUAGUGAAGUAAAAGAUUAGAUUAAUUUAAAAUGUUAUAAAAAAAAUUUAAUUUAAUAAUAAAUUUUGCAUAACACAUAUAUAUAUAUAUAUAUAUAUAUAUAUAUAUACAUACACGUAGAGUGAUGUUCAAGAGAAUGCUGUGUUAAAUUAAUAUAAGAAAUGAUGAAAAUUCAACAAACUUGUUAAUGGGUAUUUUCUUCUCCAUUGAUAUUGAAAACAGGACUACUCCCUACGAUAAGGGACUGGUCCAUUCCGCGAGCUCUCAAUCUCACUGACGGUAGUCGAUCAGCAAAUUGCUUUAUGCAUUUCCUGAAUUGUUAAUGGAAAAUGCUGGAAGCAAUUUCAAAAGUGCAGGAAAAAAGAAAAAAACACGUGAAUGUAUAGACGUGUUUUAAUAACCUAUUAAUUUCUCAAUAUAUUCUUUUUAACAAUCUUUUUAAUACUUGAAAAAAUUGUAUAAGUUUCACUAAUUAAUAAAUGAUAUUCAUUAAAUAAAGACAAAUUUCAUCCAUACUUUGUUGCUACCGUUUCACAUGUUACCAGUAGGUGUGCCAUGAUCUACAAAUAAUGUUAAUCACACACUCUAUUCGUGACUCACAUGUAAAUUUUACCCAGAAGAAGAUUCAAAAGAAGCAUUCUUCGUCCAAUACAAUAUUCCUUAAAUAAUUAAAUUUAAGUGAACAAAAAAAUUAUUGGGUUUUUUUUUCUAAAAAUUUUGGUGUAUAAUACAAUUUUUUUUGCACAAAAAAUUAUUGGGGUUUUUUCUAAAUUUUUUGGUAUAUAAUACUAAUGCAUCUGAACUAAAAAGUUUGUAUAUUAUCACUCUCUCUUAAGAAAAAAAUUAUGAGAAUAAAAAGAAAUAGAUAUGCGUAAAAUUUCAGACAUCAUAUUUAGCCGGUCAAAACUAGCCAUUUCCAAUCGUGUUUUUUUGCAUUCAUAUAUAUGCAAAUUCCUUAUUUAUUGUUGACUACAACUCAAAAUUUCCUUUUCCGGCCCUUUCAUCGAUCGAAACAAACAAAACAGUGGAAGUGGUAGAAACAAGAAUGGAAAUAUAUAGCACAAUAUUAAUUCUAUAAUUACGUACAAUGAAAGAAUGAAACAUUUAGAGUAGAAGGAUUGUUUGAAACUGAAGUACAUUGAUAUAUAUACGUUGUAUAUAGUUUAUAAUCAGGGGCACUGAGGAUUGUUCCCAGGCCCACCAUAGUAGAAGUAAGUGCCCCAUUCGUUGCUGUAGUAGCUCUUGAUGUCGUAACAGUUAGUGUUUUCGGCCAAGGUUGAGAUGCUCUGCACAGAACUCAAACUGUUAUCCGUGUCUACGAUCUGAAGGUUCCGGAAGUAGCUUGCUUUUCCGAAACCAUCCUCGGCGAAGUGU
RNAcentral lists this long non-coding RNA (11099 nucleotides) under Glycine max (soybean). RNAcentral describes it as "long non-coding RNA (GMAX_LNC002285)". The record is from RNAcentral. Lineage: Eukaryota; Viridiplantae; Streptophyta; Magnoliopsida; Fabales; Fabaceae.